CGGGGAGUUUCUGGAACCAUGACAGUCUGAAUAAGGGCAAGUCAAAGACAACCCGAUUACCCCUCCGAUGUUUGUGAGUGUACUGAUUCACAACCGCCAGAACGUUCCCGCUCAUGGAAUGGGGGACCCCCACGAGGUUUCGUGAACAUAUAUUUGGGUUGCAACUGGGUAAGAUAUUCAAAACAAACCCCUCUGAGUGAGCCUGAGAUCUUGAAAUUGGGAUCUAAAAAAGGCAAUAAUGCCAAGUAAUUGUUGUGUGCCGUUGUGCCCUGGCAAAGGAGGCGCUUCCUUUCCAUCCAAUGACGCCUUGAAACGAGAUUGGUGUAUCGCCAUUAAGAGAGUGGACCCAGAACGUCGCUAUAACCUUUGGAAGCCAUCUCCAAACUCAAGAGUAUGCCACAAGCAUUUUGGGGGAUCGGAAAUUAUUUUGAAGAAUGGUCGUCGGCUUAUCAAGAAAAAUGCUGUUCCAUCAUUUUUACCUUUCCAAAAGCAGUCAGUCUGCUCAAAUAGAUUGGAACGAGCAUUGAAACGAAGGGAGAGGGAGAGAAAAGAGCUUGAAAAGGAAACAAGUGGAAACUUUCACGAAAAUUAUGACGCUGCGGAUGUGCCAAACAUUUAUAUGGAAAUCGAGGUGAACGAAGCCAUAGAAGAAGCUUAUGAAUAAACCAGGAACAAGAAGAAUGCCUGGAAAAUGAUUCAGAUCUUUGCAAAACAUUAUAAUCGGAAAGAUUAAAGCUCAGUCGUUUCAGCAAAACCCCGCUCUGUUCAAGUAUUAUACUGGUCUUUGGACUACAGCCAUUUCAAGUAC
Long non-coding RNA from Tigriopus californicus, 808 nucleotides. RefSeq lists it as uncharacterized. NCBI's taxonomy places the organism in Eukaryota, Metazoa, Arthropoda, Copepoda, Harpacticoida, Harpacticidae. The transcript is spliced from 3 exons. The record is from RefSeq and is a predicted model, not a curated record.